RNAcentral lists this ribosomal RNA (301 nucleotides) under uncultured bacterium. RNAcentral's name for it is "partial 16S ribosomal RNA". It matches the Rfam family "Bacterial small subunit ribosomal RNA", at positions 509 to 807 of the family's 1533-position model. The record is from RNAcentral.
CAGUAGCCACGGUAAUACGGAGGGUGCAAGCGUUAAUCGGAAUUACUGGGCGUAAAGCGCGCGUAGGCGGUUACUCAAGUCAGAGGUGAAAGCCCGGGGCUCAACCCCGGAACUGCCUUUGAAACUAGGUAACUAGAAUCUUGGAGAGGUCAGUGGAAUUCCGAGUGUAGAGGUGAAAUUCGUAGAUAUUCGGAAGAACACCAGUGGCGAAGGCGACUGACUGGACAAGUAUUGACGCUGAGGUGCGAAAGCGUGGGGAGCAAACAGGAUUAGAUACCCCCGUAGUCCCUGUCUCUUAUAC